Molecule: long non-coding RNA, 1183 nt
Organism: Homo sapiens (human)
Lineage: Eukaryota; Metazoa; Chordata; Mammalia; Primates; Hominidae
Product: long intergenic non-protein coding RNA 2008
Source: Ensembl
GUACUCGAGUAGGGAGUCUGGCCUAGUGAAAGUCUCUGUUUCCUCCUUUUCUUACUUUUCACUCAAUAAAACCCUGCUUUACACACCCUUCAAACCAUCUGUGAGCCUGAAUUUUUACGGCCAUGGGACAGACAAGGAUCCUGUCUUUAUCUAAACUAAGGAAAAGUCCUGCAACAUUUGUGGUGCACAACGUGGGGCUCGAGAAGUGGAAAACGCCUAUUUUGGAGUGAAACCAGGGCCGCCUUAUGAGCUAAACAGAGUGUGUUACAGCUUCAAUAGACUAAACAAGCUCUAAAUUUAUCUUCCUAUGGUCACGGGAUCUCAUAUAUUCUGGCUGUCAUUGUCAUAAUAAGCCACUCUUGGUCAUAUGGAAAAGCAUUCAGCUGCUCCCUGCCUUUGCUCACAGCGUGUGGUACUCUCUUAGAAGCUAUUCCUGGUUCAUUGGUAAUUUGCUAAAAGAAUGCCAGUGGGAACAGAACAGAAGCAUUUUCAAGAUUAAAUUGGCAAUGGUUGUGACUGAUUGGAUGAAGGAAGUAAGGGGGAGAGAUUCAUCAGAGAAAGAAGGCUUCUUUAAGCAGCAGAAUUGAGGAAUGAGUCAGAAAAUAAAAGAGCAAACAGGAUGAGAUGGUAACACCAGAGGUCUCAGUAACAACGCUUCAGGGAAAUAUUUUUAGGAUCUGACACAUUCAGCAGAGAAAAGGAAGAUGAAAAACUGGCCUUUUCCUGAAAAUGUGAUAAAAGCAACAUCACACUGGAAGAAAACUAACAGAGAAUGGAGGUUGAUCCACCUAAGAGACCUGUAGGUCAACACAUAUUCAAGUGCAGAUCAGAGAAUGAGCCUCCCCAGAAGAGGAAGCAGGAGAUCUGAAAGAGAAAUCUUUUCACAGAAAGGAAGUGCUCUGUUUAACAGAGCUUGACUUUAGCAUCAGUCAAUUCAGGCAGCUCUACACAGAAGAGAGCAUCUUGCCCCAGUGUCCACAGAGAGCAGGCACUUCCUGGACCCUUGAGCAAACAUGCCAGGAGGUCACUUAAAACAGCGACUCUUCCUUGGUUGUACAAAAUGAAUGGUACCAAGAAAAAAUUUUCUUUCCUUGGAGGAAAAUUAGAUUCAUUACAAGCAUUUUUUUUUUUAAAGCAACAAAUGGAACCCAGUUGUAAAAAAAAAAAAAAUAAAGAAAAGAAA